AUACGUAGGUGGCAAGCGUUGUCCGGAUUUACUGGGUGUAAAGGGCGCGUAGGCGGGAAUGCAAGUCAGGUGUGAAAUCUAUGGGCUCAACCCAUAAACUGCACUUGAAACUGUGUUUCUUGAGUGAUGGAGAGGCAGGCGGAAUUCCUAGUGUAGCGGUGAAAUGCGUAGAUAUUAGGAGGAACACCAGUGGCGAAGGCGGCCUGCUGGACAUUAACUGACGCUGAGGCGCGAAAGCGUGGGGAGC
Molecule: ribosomal RNA, 247 nt
Filed under: uncultured bacterium
Lineage: Bacteria
Description: partial 16S ribosomal RNA
Rfam family: Bacterial small subunit ribosomal RNA
Source: RNAcentral